RNAcentral lists this ribosomal RNA (500 nucleotides) under uncultured bacterium. Its description in RNAcentral is "partial 16S ribosomal RNA". It matches the Rfam family "Bacterial small subunit ribosomal RNA", at positions 30 to 523 of the family's 1533-position model. The record is from RNAcentral.
AUUGAACGCUGGCGGAGUGCUUUACACAUGCAAGUCGAACGGCAGCACGGACUUCGGUCUGGUGGCGAGUGGCGAACGGGUGAGUAACAUAUCGGAACGUAUCCAAUAAUGGGGGAUAACUAAUCGAAAGGUUGGCUAAUACCGCAUACGACCUACGGGGGAAAGCAGGGGAUCUUCAGACCUUGCGUUAAUGGAGCGGCUGAUAUCUGAUUAGCUAGUUGGUGGGGUAAAGGCUCACCAAGGCAACGAUCAGUAGCUGGUCUGAGAGGAAGACCAGCCACACUGGAACUGAGACACGGUCCAGACUCCUACGGGAGGCAGCAGUGGGGAAUUUUGGACAAUGGGCGCAAGCCUGAUCCAGCCAUUCCGCGUGAGUGAAGAAGGCCUUCGGGUUGUAAAGCUCUUUUGUAAGGGAAGAAAACUUACUGUCUAAUAAAGAGUGAGGUUGACGGUACCUGGAGAAGAAGCACCGGCUAACUACGUGCCAGCCGCCGCCGUAA